RNA transcript from Alnus glutinosa, 1488 nucleotides. It is a transcript of the gene named methyl-CpG-binding domain-containing protein 5-like, with no coding region annotated. The transcript is spliced from 4 exons. The record is from RefSeq and is a predicted model, not a curated record. NCBI's taxonomy places the organism in Eukaryota, Viridiplantae, Streptophyta, Magnoliopsida, Fagales, Betulaceae.
CUUCGAAGCCAAAUCAGCAGGAAUUUUUGGGGUUCGUUGACUUCUUAAUGCAAAGCCACUGCCAAAUAAGUCAAGUUUCAAACGCCUUCCUGAUUCGACUUUCCGCCCAAACACCACUUCACACUUUCAUGUCGACCGCCGAGACGUUGGGUCAGGAUCCAAGCCCGAACCCCAACCCGCCCAAACGAGCCCCGAACGGACCCGACGAAACCCUAGCCUCCGACAAACCACCCGAUCCGCUUCUCGAAUUCGAUAACUUUAUCAACGCCACCGCCACCGGAGGUUACAGGACGCCUAAGCCACUGCGUGUGCGCCGUUCUUCUGACGGCGCGUCGGCUAGCUUAGCCGCGGAUCCGGUAACGACUACGCCGACUCCGGAGAACGCGGCGUCUACGGCCGGAGCUCAGCCGCGCCCGGAGCAGGCCGCUGCGCCGGAUUGGUUGCCGCCCGGUUGGCUUUUCGAAGAAAGAGUUCGGAGCUCCGGUGCCACGGCUGGAGCAGUAGACAAGUAUUAUUUUGAUCCAGUUUCAAGCCGUCGAUUCCGGUCAAAGAAUGAGGUUCUUUACUUUUUAGAAACGGGAACUAAACGUAAAAAGGGGAAACUAAUGGAGAACUCUGAUGGUGAAACAAUGGGCUCUGGGGGCCAGAAACAAAAGAAGUCUGCUACGAAGGCAAAGAGUUCUGCUUUGAAAUUUGAUUUUCUUAAUGUGCCCGAGAAGGUCAAUUGGGUUCUCACAGAUUCCUCCCGGGGGUCCUGGGCUCCUUUUAUUGGUGACGAAAAGGUGUCUAAAUCUAUUGUGCAAGAAUGGGCUGCUGCGUUCACAUCCCUCACCUCCAGACACGAUUCUCAGAUGAUGUUUUGAAGGGCAUCUUCCAAACUCUCCAUUGUAUCAUUAAGAGUAUGAUCCCAUACUGACCAAUACAGAUACGUGUUUCAGCCAUGGAGUUGUGCUGGGCAAUUUUACUAACGGUUGAAGUGUAUGUGUCAUGCUUUUACAAAGAACUCGAGAUCGCAACUAGACACUGAAUUCAAGUUUUGCAAAGAUCAUUGAUCUUCACCCUUCGAUCUGAGGUUUAUGUGUUUUCUUGUUAUAUGUUUCAUUGAUCUGUGGCUGAUUGGGUUCUGCUGACUUAGGAACUAAAUUAAAUUUGUUGAGUGGGGGUUGGCUGACUUCUUUUGUCAACUAGUAUUCAUCCUUUUUGAUAAUUAGGGUAAGAGAAACUUCGAUGAAACUGCUAUGAUGCUUCAACAGAUCUCAUUUCCUUCAUGGAGCAUGAUAAAGAGGGAGGAUUGAGGGGCAAAAAUGUGGCAUGUGUUCUUGUAUUACUGAUGUGACAACUUUAACUAUUUUUUUAUUAUUAUUUAAUAAGGAUUGAUUUAAAGGUUAGUGGAGACUGUCAUAUCCGCAUUGUAAAAUAGUUGUAAGAUAAAAAUGUGGUAUAACAUUACUCUUCCUUAAUAUUAAAUGCAUAAAUCAUGUUCAAUCA